UCGAUUGCUCCAGAAAAGAUAAUAUGGGCAUGUCUACUAGAUUUGGCAAUGCCUGCUUCCGAUUGAUAUGGAGAAGAGCCGCCUCUGCCUCCCCGAGGAGACUCCAUAGCAGCAGCCAUGGCCAAAGUUUGGAUCAUCCACAUCAGAGUUGUGAUGGCUGAAACCCUAUACUUUGCUUCCGAACAUGCUUUUAUUGAUCUCAAGUAAGCAGCGUAAUCUCUUCUUUUUCUCUGAUCCACGUGCUGAUUCAAGCUGGAGAAGUUGAUAUCACAUAUUCUUUUAGGGAUCAUGUAAUUGAGCUUUAGGACGAUUGAUCGUCCAGACAUUGAUUUAUUUAGAUUAAAUCUGAUCGUCAUCUCAUCUCCCUCUCUCCCUCUCUCCCUCUCUCUUGGAAAGAAAAAGGGAAUCUUCAUCCAGUUUUCUGAAAGGAGGACAUGGCUAGCCAGCAUGACGAGGGUGAUUAGAUGAAUAUCCUCCUCUUUUUUUAGUUCUUUGCAGUUUGGUGUUACUACAACAACGGAUUUUUUGCUCCCUUCUCCUGUGUUUCUGAUUCAAUCUGGAAGUUAUGUGUUCAUAUGGUGAUAAAGACGCAGAUGCAAGAUGUCAGAAGCUGAUGGUGCAUUCUCUACAAACACCGGAAUUGUUGUUUGGCGUUGCACUGUCAGAACAUGGGCCAAAUUACGCCAUUUUGGAUGGCGUUCAUGAACUACAUGGAGAGGAGUUAAACCUACACCCCCUACUGUAGGAAUUUGCUGGCGUACACGGAGUAGCGAGGCAGCAGCAUCAGCGGAAUCAUGAUCAUGGAAAUUGGAGCGAUGCAUUGACUAAUUUCUUCUGCACGUCACAAACAUUGGUGUUCCUCGACUGUGACUACGUGAUGCUAACUUAUUACAUAAUGGAAGGAUUAGUCAUGGCGCCAACCUGAAGAAAUUAAUACUCCCUCCGUUCCUAAAUAUUUGUCCUUUUAGAGAUUUCAAAUGAACUAUCCCAUACGGAUGUAUAUAGACAUAUUUUAGAGUGUAGAUUGACUCAUUUUGCUCCGUAUGUAGUCACUUGUUGAAAUCUCUAGAAAGACGUUAGAGGGCGGAGAUGUUGCUAUUUGUAUGGUAUAUUUUGACCAUGG
Molecule: long non-coding RNA, 1123 nt
Organism: Triticum aestivum (bread wheat)
Lineage: Eukaryota; Viridiplantae; Streptophyta; Magnoliopsida; Poales; Poaceae
Exons: 3
Source: RefSeq, a predicted model, not a curated record